UAGGGAAUCUUCGGCAAUGGGGGGAACCCUGACCGAGCAACGCCGCGUGAGUGAAGAAGGUUCUCGGAUCGUAAAGCUCUGUUGUUAAGGAAGAACGAGUGUGAGAAUGGAAAGUUCAUGCUGUGACGGUACUUAACCAGAAAGGGACGGCUAACUACGUGCCAGCAGCCGCGGUAAUACGUAGGUCCCGAGCGUUGUCCGGAUUUAUUGGGCGUAAAGCGAGCGCAGGCGGUUAGAAAAGUCUGAAGUGAAAGGCAGUGGCUCAACCAUUGUAGGCUUUGGAAACUGUUUAACUUGAGUGCAGAAGGGGAGAGUGGAAUUCCAUGUGUAGCGGUGAAAUGCGUAGAUAUAUGGAGGAACACCGGUGGCGAAAGCGGCUCUCUGGUCUGUAACUGACGCUGAGGCUCGAAAGCGUGGGUAGCAAACAGG
RNAcentral lists this ribosomal RNA (429 nucleotides) under Bacteroidota bacterium. Its description in RNAcentral is "Bacteroidetes bacterium partial 16S ribosomal RNA". It matches the Rfam family "Bacterial small subunit ribosomal RNA", at positions 355 to 776 of the family's 1533-position model. Lineage: Bacteria; Pseudomonadati; Bacteroidota. The record is from RNAcentral.